UACAGAGGUCUCAAGCGUUGUUCGGAUUCAUUGGGCGUAAAGGGUGCGUAGGCGGCGCGGUAAGUCUGGUGUGAAAUCUCGGAGCUUAACUCCGAAACUGCAUUCGAUACUGCCGUGCUUGAGGACUGGAGAGGAGACUGGAAUUCCUGGUGUAGCGGUGAAAUGCGCAGAUAUCAGGAGGAACACCGGUGGCGAAGGCGGCUUCCUGGACCGACACUGACGCUGAGGCGCGAAAGCUAGGGGAGCAAACGGG
RNAcentral lists this ribosomal RNA (253 nucleotides) under uncultured bacterium. Its description in RNAcentral is "partial 16S ribosomal RNA". It matches the Rfam family "Bacterial small subunit ribosomal RNA", at positions 524 to 776 of the family's 1533-position model. The record is from RNAcentral.